GGAUUAUGGUGUGCAUCUGUAGUCUCAGCUACCUGGGAGGCUGAGGAAGGAGGAUUGUUUGAGCCUAGACAUUCUGGGCUGCAGUGUGCUACAUCUAUCAGGUGUUUGCACUAAGUUUAGCAUCAAUAUGGUUCCCUCCCAGGAGUACGGGAUCACCAGGUAACUAAGGAGGUGUGAACUGGUCCAGGUUGGAAAUAGUGCAGGUCAAAACUCCCAUGCUGAUCAGUAGCAGGAUUGAGUCUGUGAAUAGCCACUGCACUCCAACAUGGGCAAUAUAGCAAAACACUGUCUCU
Molecule: signal recognition particle RNA, 293 nt
Filed under: Carlito syrichta (Philippine tarsier)
Lineage: Eukaryota; Metazoa; Chordata; Mammalia; Primates; Tarsiidae
Description: Metazoan signal recognition particle RNA (ENSTSYG00000031133.1)
Rfam family: Metazoan signal recognition particle RNA
About the family: The signal recognition particle (SRP) is a universally conserved ribonucleoprotein.
Source: RNAcentral